This 368-nucleotide ribosomal RNA is filed under the name uncultured bacterium. RNAcentral's name for it is "bacterial SSU rRNA". It matches the Rfam family "Bacterial small subunit ribosomal RNA", at positions 527 to 891 of the family's 1533-position model. The record is from RNAcentral.
GGGGGGAGCAAGCGUUGUUCGGAUUUACUGGGCGUAAAGGGCGCGUAGGCGGCCACUGCAAGUCGGUUGUGGAAUCUCCGGGCUUAACCCGGAAAGGUCAAUCGAUACUGCAGGGCUAGAGUGCAGAAGGGGCAACUGGAAUUCUCGGUGUAGCGGUGAAAUGCGUAGAUAUCGAGAGGAACACCUGCGGCGAAGGCGGGUUGCUGGGCUGACACUGACGCUGAAGCGCGAAAGCUAGGGGAGCGAACGGGAUUAGAUACCCCGGUAGUCCUAGCCUUAAACGAUGAAUGCUUGGUGUCUGGGGUUUUAUAGUCCCCGGGUGCCGUCGCUAACGCUUUAAGCAUUCCGCCUGGGGAGUACGGUCGCAA